AGUGCUUCCCUACCUCAUCGCCGUCUCCCCUCACGGUACUUCAGCCCACUGUCCCCACCGUUCCUGGGGCUCGCCAGGCGCCCUCUCCCCCGCCCGCUGCCCGGUGCAGCGCUCUCCCGACGCCCGCGUGGCUUUCUUCCAGGUCUUUGCUCAAAUGUCAGCUUACAAGGUCUUCUCUGCUGCCCUCCUGCUCCGUGGCACUGAUUCCCUCCCGAUGCACUGUCAGGUCAGCUGCGCAGCAAAGGGAUUUUUGGACCCGCAGCAGCGCCUGACACACAGCAGGCAUUCCCUCAGCGCUGCGGAAUACAGGCAGACCCGGGGCUCAGGGCGCUGUCUGGGCCUCACUGGGACCCGUGGGGUCAGACAGAGGCUGAGGUCUGUGGGUUGUGGCCUUGUUUCCAAGAUGCUCCACGGGCUGACGGCCCAGGCGCCUCUCGGGUGCGGAGAAGGCAGGAAACCUAACCCCUGCUUCCAAAUUUAAUCAGUAGAAACGGUAUCAUCACCCAGCACAGGCCAGGAUCAUUUCUGAGGUUAGUUCUGGCCCAAUCAUGCAUGCAUUUCUUUUUUCUUUUUUUUUUUGAGACGGAGUCUCACUCUGUCACCCAGGCUGGGGUGCAAUGGCCCGAUCUCGGCUCACUGCAACCUCCGCCUGCCGAGGGUUCAAGCGAUUCUCCCGCCUCAGCCUCUCGAGUAGCUAGGACUAGAGGCACCCGCCACCACACCGGCUAAUUUUUGUAUUUUUAGUAGAAACGGGGUUUCACUAUAUUUGGCCAGGCUGGUCUUGAACUCCUGACCUCGUGAUCCGCCCGCCUCGGCCUCCCAAAGUGCUGGGAUUACAGGCAUGAGCCACCGCGCCCGGCCUCAUGCGUGUAUUUCUUUCUUCACUCAACACUCAUUGAGCAACUACUGCACACCAGACCCUAUGCUGAAUGCACGCAGAUACCCCCAGUCCCAUGAGAUUGGACAGGAGCGUGGAACUCAAGGGUGACUCUGGCUCUGCCUGGGGAAAGAGAGAGAGGGCUUCCGAGGGGCAGACCAAGCCCAGGUGGACCACGUCCCAGGCAGACCAAGCCCAGGUGGACCACGUCCCAGGCAGACCAAGCCCAGGCGGACCACGUCCCAGGCGGACCACGUCCCAGGCGGACCACGUCCCAGGCGGACCAAGCCCAGGCGGACCACGUCCCAGGCGGACCACGUCCCAGGCGGACCAAGCCCAGGUGGACCACGUCCCAGGCGGACCACGUCCCAGGCGGACCAAGCCCAGGUGGACCACGUCCCAGGCGGACCAUGUCCCAGGCAGACCACGUCCCAGGCAGACCAAGCCCAGGCGGACCACGUCCCAGGCAGACCACGUCCCAGGCGGACCAAGCCCAGGUGGACCACGUCCCAGGCAGACCAAGCCCAGGCAGACCACGUCCCAGGUAGACCUAGUGGUUGUGUAUUCACUUCUCCCAACCCCCCUGGGAAGAAAUAACUGCAGCUGGCCCCAUUGCACCAAUGAGGAAACUGAGGCCCAGGGAGGAAGCCGAUUGCCUGAGGCGGCAGCUUUGGGACUGGACUGUGGCUGCCUCCUGAGGAAGGAAACAGUUCCUCCCUCCACCCUCAUCCUGGCAGGGGUUGGGCCACCGUUGCUUCAUCAAGUGUCGUGGAGCCUCCGCUCUGUGCCAGGAGCGGGGCCUGUGCCACAAACGUCUGCUGAAACCAGCCAUCCACCCAACAGUAUCGAGCACCAUGAUCGGAAGAGUAAAGGCCCCAAACUGGGCCAGGGGCGGUGGCUCAUUCCCGUAAUCCCAGCACUUUGGAAGGCUGAGGCGGGUGGAUCAUUUGAGGUCAGGAGUUCGAGGCUAGUCUGGCCAAAAUGGUGAAACCCAUCUCUACUAAC
This 1882-nucleotide long non-coding RNA is filed under the name Homo sapiens (human). RNAcentral's name for it is "non-protein coding lnc-FSTL3-1:2". Lineage: Eukaryota; Metazoa; Chordata; Mammalia; Primates; Hominidae. The record is from RNAcentral.